This 253-nucleotide ribosomal RNA is filed under the name uncultured bacterium. Its description in RNAcentral is "partial 16S ribosomal RNA". It matches the Rfam family "Bacterial small subunit ribosomal RNA", at positions 524 to 776 of the family's 1533-position model. The record is from RNAcentral.
UACGUAGGGACCAAGCGUUGUUCGGAUUUACUGGGCGUAAAGGGCGCGUAGGCGGCUUGUCAAGUCACUUGUGAAAUCUCUGGGCUUAACCCAGAACGGCCAAGUGAAACUGACAUGCUAGAGUGCAGAAGGGGCAAUCGGAAUUCUUGGUGUAGCGGUGAAAUGCGUAGAUAUCAAGAGGAACACCUGAGAUGAAGACGGGUUGCUGGGCUGACACUGACGCUGAGGCGCGAAAGCCAGGGGAGCAAACGGG